AUUUAAUAGUUACUGACUUUUAAUUAUUCAAUAUAUAUUUAUUAUUUCAUAAUAUGUAAAAAUAUUUAAUACAUAAAAUAAUUUAUAUAUAUAUAAUGUUCAUUCCGCGUAAGGCGCGGGUCUUAACCUAGUUUUGUAAUAUUUCUGAAAGCAACGAAUCUUUUUUUAAUGUUCUAUUUUUUUGUCUUUGUUAAAUUAACUUCUUACCAAUUUUAUUUGUUUAUGGUAGUCUGAUCUGUCUUUGGCAGCGAUAAUUUUGAACUAAUAAACCCACGUUCUGUAUUUGAAAUUUAUUUGAAAGUAACAAUCGUUUCUAGUGCUUUAAAUUUAAUCUUUGUUAGUCUAACUACUUUCACUAAUUUAUACUAUUUGUUUAUGGUAGUGCUGAUCUGUUUAUGACAGCGCUAAUUAAUCUUGAACCCAUUGACCAACGUUUUCUAUUUGUUAUUUAUUUGAAAGUAACAAAUCUUAUCUAGUGCCUCUAGUUUUUAGUAUUUGUUAAUUCAAUUUCUUACACAAAAUUAAUUUAAUAUCUGUUAAUAGUAGUGCCGAAUUUGAUCUACCAUUUAUUUUAAUCAAUUAUUUUAGAGAAUAUGCCUUCAACAACAUGUUUCACGGAAGCACAAAAGAGGCGAAAAGAAAGAAGAUGAUGGGUUGGUGAAAUCCUUGCACGGUUUUAUUGAGUAAACUAAAACAACAAAUGCUUGAUAAAAAAUAGGGUCCUAAAUAAUAUAAAAGUAAAAUUUAGUUUUAUUGGUCUAUGAUAAUUUUUUUUUUAUAUGUGUCAUAUGUGAUCUAGCAGAGUAGAGACUAGACAGAUAUCAUUGUCGCAUAUCAUAAGUGUGAAUGAGUUUUCUCCAAAUAAAUUCCAAUUCUGCAAAAUAAGCUUCAGUUAUCAAAAAAGUGAUAGCGUUUAGCGGUUGUUUUGUUAAGCCUUAAGCUGAUUCUGACAUAACCGCAUGAAACACGCGAUUUCUACCGCCAUCUAUCAGACAUAACCAAACUAAAUACCAUGUCCCGAAAAAGUUUACAUUUUAACUAUUCAAGAAUCUUUAGUUUCAGUUAUAAAGAAACUACACUGUUCUAAUAGAAACACAUUAUAUCUGGAGGAUACUGAAAAGAUUCUGACGCUUAAGCGGCCGUACGAAUGCGUAUACGGCAAUAGCUCGAAGUGAAGCCUAAUAAGUUUUCUCGACGUUGGAGUUUUCUCUCAGUCUCGUUACUAAUCCGAACGAAAAGGUAAGAACUUACAAAUUAAUAAUAUUAGAAAGUAUUCUGGCAUUGGCCUUUAGAUUAUGCUAUGUGAUCAUUAGCGAGAAUAAGAAGUAGUGGCCUCGAUGCGAGCAUUAUCGCUCAUGCCAGUGGAACAAGAGUAGUAGAGCAACAACUUCUCAUUUAGAAUUUGAGUGCAUGACGUUUGACCAACGAUCAUGUUAUAUGUUUCCUUUGGUUCAGUAUUGUAUGAUCCACUGUCCUUUGUCCAGGUAGGUAUUCCGUUGCGUUAACUUGUCUCAUUUCUUUGUCUUAAGUUCCCAGUGUGAUUUUGUCUUCAAAUGCUAAUGGCAGAACCGAUUUGAACAUUGACCGUGUUGCAGUUCUUGAAUGAGAUAAUUACAAUUAUGAUGUAGCUAUAAUUGUACUGAAGGGUUGUCAAUGCAAAUUCUGUUGUAACUAUCUGUAAUGAUAUAACUAAACAUAUUCAAUAUUUUCAGCUUUCUUCUUAUUCCUCGUAUUCAAAUUGGUAUAGGAACAAAAGUAAACCAAUGUGACUUUGAACCAAAAAAAAAACCAAUGUGACUAUUAGUAAAGCUUAUAGCUUCCAUGAAUGCUUGAGCUUAUUCCAGGAGGUCAAAUUCAGACUUAUACACAAAGCCAUGCAGACAAGCUGUAAGUGAUGCUAUUUUGUGAUCUCAUAACUGAUAACAGCUUAAGAUUCACACUGAUAUGGUGUUCUUUAUUUGGAUACAGUGGAAAAAAAAAUCAAGGAGGUUCUUGAGAUCAAGCAAUGAAAUCUUCCAUGUCCAAUGAAAAUAAUUAUUGACAAAAUGGAAAUGUGAUCUGGAUGUGUUAACAAUUAGUUUGAUUUAUUAGGGAUAUGCAAAUACAAAUUCACAUUUCAAGAAGUCUUUGCCUGUUUUGUGACUUUUUUAUUAUGUGAAAAAGUCUGGAUUAUCCAUGAUAUAAGAAUACAUCAAAUGAGUUAUCAAAAAUUAUUAUUCAUAUUCUCUGACAAAAUAUUUAAUGUUUCUGAUUUUCUAUUUAAUUUUUUUUAUAGACAUAUGGGUAUCAUGUUUCUGAAACUAAUAAUUAUAUUAUUGAGGAAUUCACAUUAUUAACUAAAGAUAAUGGGUAACCAAUGUAAAUUUGGAUUGAUUCUACAAUAGAACAAUGACACUAAUGCAAGCACACGAAUGAAAACACAUGUAAAUUUGGGACUUGUUACUUACAUAUUUGAGGUUUUUUCUUUAAAUAUCAAAAUUUGACAUAUAUUUUCUGUUAGAUUCAUUACUUUUGUAUUCUGAAAAUUAAUUUUAAUUUUAUCAUCAUAUUGACUAAAAUGAUAAUUGUGUCUAUUUUAUAAGCAUCCUUGUUCUAGUUUUUAUUCACAACUAAUAGUUUCUAACUAUGUUAUCAAACUAGUAUUGUUAUCAUUUUGUUUUUUUUUUCUUAUAUUUUACUUGGAUAUUGCUUAUAUUGGCUUAUUUUAUUAUUGAGUCUUAUGUGAAAUUUUUAGCAGAAAAUAAUGAAUAACACUCAUAAGUUCUUCCAUUAAAUAUAUAAAUUUUGUUGAAUACUUUAUAUUUUACAUAUUAUAUUUAAAUUUGGUUAGGUACUUCAUAUAUACUAGUUCUUCCCUCGAGCUGUUUCCACCUUAUCAGUGGAAAAGACUUGUUAAGAAAGAACCAUAGUGGCCUGACAACUCUGGAUAACAAACGUAACAUUUGCUGCAGGUUUUCAUGCGUUCUUUUCCUCUCGAUGUGUUCCUGCUACGUACUUAACAUGGUGGCAAUGCAAACCUCAGUUCAUUGGAUGUGACUUUGCCAUCACUCUUUAUUGCUAUAAUAUGUAUGACAUUUGCAUUCUUUUUUUGGUUUAUAAAGUUGCUCGGAAUCCUUCUCCCUCACGUUUACUAUAUCUUUUGUGUUUCUGAGUUUUGUAGAUGACGACGAAGGCGAAAAUUGUAAGACCUCUAGUCACAGGAUUGUGAAGAGGGCGGAGUCAGUUGAGAAUGAUCUCAUGCAAUGAUCACAUCAGACACUAGUUAAAAAGAGAUGUUUAAUCAUAAAUAUGGUUGCUCUCAUUAGAUGAAUGGUUAGAAUUCUGCAUUUUUCGCUAGCUUAUAUAUAAUGAGUUGCUCUUAUUAGAUGAAUGUUUUUAAUCUUUGUUACUUUCGCUGCUUUCACUAAUUUAUAUUUGUUUAUGGUAGUGCUGAUCUGUUUAUGACAGCGCUUAUUAAAUCUUGAACCCAUUGACACACGUUCUCUAUGUGUUAUUUAUGUGAGAGUAUAAAUUAGUGUAAGAAAUUAAAUUAAAAAAAAAUAGAGGCACUAGAUAAGAUUUGCAAGUUUUGCAAGAUAUAUCCACUAUUUUAUUUUAAUCAAUCAUUUUAGAGAAUAUGCCUCUAACAACAUGUUUCACGGAAGCACAAAAGAGACAAAAAGAAGGAUAGAAAAUGAGGUUUUUUUGAAGACUUGGCUCAACAAGAAUUUGACUUGAUGAAUACAAGGACAAAUCAUAUGAUUCUUGAUAGUUUCUGGUUGAUUAGCGAGUGAGAAGACUUGUUUAGCUGCCAAGAUUGGUCUCUAAACGACUAAACCGAUGGUUGUUAAUUAUAGUCAAAUUUGAUUUGGCAGUGUAGAGGUUUUUGUCACAACGUUGUACGUUUUAUGACAUGUAGAAUCCUAGUUAUGAAGUUUGGACUAAGAAAAACUUAGUUCAAACACCUUUUUUUCUAAAUGAAAAUGAUCAUUGUUCUUCACAUAGUGUGUGUUAACUCAUGCUCUAGGAGACAAAUGUAGAUUGUUUUUCAGACACUUGUGUUAUUUAAUCAGACGUUAUUUUAUUUGUAUAAUAUAUGAACAAACGAAUUCACAAUUCAUUGUAACGCCAAGAUUCUAGCUUUUUAUACAGCAGCGUCCUGGAACGCGAUUGCGUUAUAGAUUUAUCGUCAAUCGUUUGAAACUGGCGUCUGCGUUUCAGGAGCGUAUGAGUUAUGACACGUUUACAGAAGAGCACAUUGAGAUACGGUGCUCCGCGAAACAGCGAACCCAAUCCGCCUUAAACCCUCCCGACCGAAGUCGACGAACAGACAACGAUCCUCCGAUGGAGUUUGAGAUCAAUGAAAGCUAGUUUCUUUUUUUUUCUCGAGAAUGGCGCUCGUGAGGAGGCUUCAAACAGAAUCUUCUUCCUUUCCGUGAGAUUGGUCUUCCCUUUGAUUGCGAUUUAGGAAGCUUUAUGGUUCCAUUUGCCUCGCUUUGACGCAAAAAGAUUCAAUUUUUAAGCUUAUUCCUCUUUGGAUUGAGCUAAAAGGAAUCAACUUUGAUCAGGUUUCAUCGUUUGUUUUCUAGUUUUCGAAGUGGAAAUGAGUUCUCUUGGAUUCAGAGUGGAGAUGAGUUGAGAUUAGGGUGUUGGAGGAGAGCUAUCAUUCUUCGCUUUGUCACGUUCUGUGAAUCCUUUCUCCAUUGAUUUGACUCUAAUGUAGUGUGCUUUUGAGUAAUGUAAUUGGCAUGUUUCAGUUCCCGACACUCAUGGAUUAAGCGUUUAUUCACGCUUAUAUGAGCGCUACAAAACACAUUUGCUACAGACUACAACGAUGUUUCAAAAGGAGCGGUUGGAAAACAACAAAAGAGGAUUUUAUACGGGAGCUAAGAAGUGCUUACGCUAUCGCAAAGUUAACAAAGACUGGUUACUCAAAGAAUAAGUUCUACAUUGAAGCACUAAAGUUAUACAAAGAGACUAACAUUAUGAUGGCCAAUGGUGACCAGAAGACAAUAAUGAAAAACUUAACUGAAAGGAUGUUGUUUUCAGCAAGCAUUGAAGAACGAAAUUAGACAAAGAGAAGCCAUGUGGGGUACUGUUUACGGGAAAAUGGUUGAGGCGGUGAUCAAAAUCAAGACUUUACAAGCUAGAUUGAUACAGGACGGACCUCAAUAAAGCUUUCAUACAGCUGACACUUGAGUUUCUGACAAAGCAGAAAUUUGAAGCAUAUGAUUCUAAAGGCAGUGUAGUAGCCGUAGACAAGAAAAAAGAGGUGCUUGUACGUGACAUCUGAGUCUUUGAGAAGUCUCUAUUCCAUACAGGAGCUUGCUGACGACUCUGGCUGGAUUGAACUUCCAACAAAGGAUAAAAUCCAACCUGCCCUCUGAUUUUUUGUUUGCUAGUCAGUAAUCUCUAUACAAAUUGGCUUUCUUCUAUUUUUCUCUUGCAAUGUAAGCCUGAAUGUUAUCUGAUUAGGCCCUAGAGUUGUUAGGCAAAUGAUUAGUAAGUACAAAGAUAUCAGAAAGAAACAAACCAGUUUUCUGUUUUGUUUUUGUAGUUCCAUUAACAGAGAAAGGUUGUGUUGUUUCUAUUGCUUACAUUUGAUCUCUUCUA
This is a long non-coding RNA of Brassica rapa (field mustard), 5592 nucleotides long. RefSeq lists it as uncharacterized. The record is from RefSeq and is a predicted model, not a curated record. Lineage: Eukaryota; Viridiplantae; Streptophyta; Magnoliopsida; Brassicales; Brassicaceae.